Unclassified non-coding RNA from Vigna unguiculata (cowpea), 2071 nucleotides. The record is from RefSeq and is a predicted model, not a curated record. Lineage: Eukaryota; Viridiplantae; Streptophyta; Magnoliopsida; Fabales; Fabaceae.
GUGAUUUUGUUUGGUUUGGUUUUGGGUGUUGUUGCUUUGGGAUCGAAGCGUGCGUUUGUUUGUAUUGUUGUAGCGCAGCGGUCGAUAGGGUUAAGGCCAUGGAGCGCAUCAUCGGCGCCAAGUACAAGCUAGGUCGCAAGAUCGGAAGCGGAUCCUUCGGCGAAAUCUACCUCGCGACGCAUAUUGAUACCUUCGAAAUUGUCGCGGUCAAGAUCGAGAACAGUAAAACGAAGCAUCCGCAAUUGCUUUACGAGGCCAAGCUCUACAAUAUUCUACAAGGAGGAAGUGGCAUCCCGAGCAUAAAAUGGUGUGGUGUCGACGGAGAGGAUAAUGUGCUUGUUAUGGAUUUGCUGGGACCUAGUCUUGAGGAUCUGUUUGUUUACUGUGGAAGAAAGUUCUCCCUCAAAACCGUGUUGAUGUUAGCUGAUCAAAUGAUGACUAGAAUUGAAUAUGUGCAUUCUAAAGGAUUCCUACACAGGGAUAUAAAACCUGACAACUUUCUCAUGGGACUAGGUCGUAAGGCAAACCAGGUUUACAUAAUUGAUUUUGGGCUUGCAAAACGAUAUAGGGACUCCACAACUAAUCGUCACAUUCCUUACAGGGAAAACAAAAACUUAACAGGGACUGCACGCUAUGCAAGUUGCAAUACUCAUCUUGGGAUUGAGCAAAGUCGACGGGAUGAUUUGGAGUCACUUGGGUAUGUGCUUCUGUAUUUUCUCAGAGGAAGCCUUCCUUGGCAAAACCUAAAGGCUGCAACAAAGAAGCAAAAGUAUGAUAAAAUAUGUGAGAAGAAAGUAGCAACUCCUAUUGAGGUUUUAUGCAAAUCUCAUCCCGUAGAGUUUGCUUCAUACUUUCAUUAUUGUCACUCUCUGACCUUUGAUCAGCGACCUGAUUAUGGUUUCUUGAAGCGCCUGUUUCGGGAUCUAUUUGCUCGUGAAGGUUAUGAAUUUGAUUAUGUAUUUGAUUGGACUAUUUUAAAGUACCAGCAGGCACAGAAGAAUAGGACCCAGCCUCGCAUGUCUAUGGUCCCUGGAGCAAGCAGCACUCCUGCAGUGCCAAUGGAUGUGGACAACAAUCGAGGGGAUGUGUCAGCAGAACGCAUUAAAUCAGGCAAUGUAACUGGUUCCGGUGUUAAAAUUCAGUUUAAAUCACCUGGUUUAAAAAAUUUGGGUUCUGAAAAGCCUCUUGACAAGAAUAUUUUUGGUGAAGCAAAUAUACCCUCUACCUCAUACUCUCUUGCUGGCACCUCAAAAAGGAACUCUUUGAAGCCUGCCUUGUCCACUGAAGCUGCUAACAUAGUAAAUGGGCAAGGAAGUAAUAAAAUUGGCCCUUCAAGUAGUUGGAUUUCAUCUGUGCAGCGCAUAUCUUCUGCCAAAUGAAUACCAAUAUGGUUUGGUUCUGAUCUAGAAGAUUCCCGUACACAUUUAUGAAGCUGCAAAAAUUUAAGAUAUUUGCUUGCUUCAACCUUACAUUUUUGGUCAAGAAUUUUCAAGUGAUCUAUCUAUGGAGACUGCAAAUGUGCUGCAAGGAUGAUAAAUUUCAAAGCUCGUCAUCUUCUGAGACCAUCUGUGUUGCUUUUUUUCCUAAGGUAGCUUGAAUUUGACGGUCAGCCAGAUUAACUAGUCAUUCUUGGGAUGAAUGAAAUCUGGUUGUGUCAUUGUAAUUCAAGGAUUUCUUUUUUCAACCUAUAUUGUCUGAAGGGUGAAACAUGAGUGACAAUUGGUGUUAUAUCGAUGUCAUUGUCAACGGGAACAUACCUAUUCGUACAUAGCACUUUGGGGAAGUACUUGUCACAAGCUUGAGAAUUGAUUUUGAUGUUGCUUGUGAUAUGGAUUUUGGUUAAGAUUUUCGAAGGUCUAUGAGUUGAUGGGUGGACAAAUAAUUGAUUCUUGCUGGGUAUAAGUAAGCCUCAUAAAUCGAAAUAUAUGCAUAGAAAGGAAUUUCAUUUUCGUAGAGUGAGAAUUACAUGCCUAGAAACGAAGUUUAAUUCCUUCUGUAAGUUAUUUCAGUUAAAGACAUUUUUAACGUUUGUAGAUAUUCUCUUAGAAGCAAAGCUGGAAGUAACUGAGUA